Molecule: ribosomal RNA, 305 nt
Filed under: uncultured bacterium
Lineage: Bacteria
Description: bacterial SSU rRNA
Rfam family: Bacterial small subunit ribosomal RNA
Source: RNAcentral
AUCGCCUACGGGGCGCAGCAGUCGGGAAUAUUGCGCAAUGGAGGAAACUCUGACGCAGUGACGCCGCGUGAAGGAUGACGGCCCUAUGGGUUGUAACCUUCUUUUGUCAGGGAGCAAUUGGGUCCACGUGUGGGCUUAGCGAGAGUACCUGAAGAAAAAGCAUCGGCUAACUCCGUGCCAGCAGCCGCGGUAAUACGGAGGAUGCGAGCGUUAUCCGGAUUUAUUGGGUUUAAAGGGUGCGUAGGCGGAAUAUCAAGUCAGCGGUAAAAAUUCGGGGCUCAACCCCGUCGUGCCGUUGAAACUGA